GUAUGAGGGGCAAAAACCUUACUGCUUACAGUAAGAGCUGUCUACUUAUUAUACAUAUUUAUUGGUUCAGGUUUUUUUCAGGAUUGGUGUAAUGGAUUUACAAUAGGUUUUUUUUCCAGUCAUUGAAUAAACAACAGUGUUUUGAUCUUACAGUAAAAAUCACCUUUAAAAAUGGUCUAAUACUCUUCUCUGUCAACUUAAGUAUACAACUGCAGAUUGCACGCAGGGCCAGAUUUGCAUUUCCUUAAUCACCUUAAUAUACUAAACUUAUCAAUGGCAAGUUAUUAAUACAUUAAAUAAAUAAAUAAAUAAUAUAAGAAGAAAAACAGUUAUCAUUUUUACUUUAUUUAGCAAUUUGUCUUGUUUUAAUCCGUGAAAGGUGAUAUUUUCAAUUAAUUAUUCAAUAACUUAUCAAGAAGAAUCAAAUGAUAAAACAGGAACAUUGCCAGAUUGUAAAGCUAUAGGUAGAAAAGUUUAUAAAGAACCGGCUGCUCAAUAUGCGCACAAACCCAUUUUUCAACACAAAAUCGAUAGAAAAUCCGGUGGCAGAGAGAAAAGACGAUCACAAUAUAUUUUCUCUCCCUUCUUAUUAAAGAAACCGCAAGAACAAAUCAGCCGCCCUACUUCGUUUCUUUGUACCUGCCGGGGAUUUAAAGCCUAUGCCGUAGCCUGAAGGCCUACUCAGUGUCGUCUCGUACGGAAAGUGAGUUAAUCGUGUUAUAAGGCUUUUAAAAUCUGUUGUGUGUUUUUUUUUAAAGUAUAAUAGUGAAAUAGACUAUAGUUUUUUUAGUUAGACUAUCCGAUUUUUAUUGUAAAAGAUGUCACGUAAAAAAGUAGGCAAACAAGGACAAAUAGAGAGAUUAUUUCUAACGUGGCAGCUUUUAUGAAAAAAGAAGCAUAGCAAGGAAUUACUAAUAUUCCUUUGAAAAAUUUUAGACAAUGUACAUUAGCUGCCACUCGAGUAUCCCAGUCAACUUACAGAAGAGUGGUCCAAGAGUCAGAAGAUAUAGAAAAUAUACCUUCCUGUUCCAGCAGGCAUA
Long non-coding RNA from Anthonomus grandis grandis, 1040 nucleotides. RefSeq lists it as uncharacterized. NCBI's taxonomy places the organism in Eukaryota, Metazoa, Arthropoda, Insecta, Coleoptera, Curculionidae. The record is from RefSeq and is a predicted model, not a curated record. The transcript is spliced from 3 exons.